UUAGCAUCAAUGAUGAUAAUCAGACUUCGUCAUCCUUGCACUUUGAUUUAUAAUGAAGAAAACAACGGGGAAAGUAUUUCAGAGAUGCUU
Small nucleolar RNA from Lactuca sativa (garden lettuce), 90 nucleotides. RefSeq annotates it as small nucleolar RNA snoR26. The record is from RefSeq and is a predicted model, not a curated record. Lineage: Eukaryota; Viridiplantae; Streptophyta; Magnoliopsida; Asterales; Asteraceae.